AAUCAACGCUGGCGGCGUGCCUAACACAUGCAAGUCGAACGCGAAAGCCCCGCAAGGGGUAAGUAGAGUGGCAAACGGGUGAGUAACGCGUGGGUGACCUGCCUCCGAGCGGGGGAUAACGUCCCGAAAGGGACGCUAAUACCGCAUAACAUCCUGCUUUUUAACAAGCGGAGAUCAAAGCUGGGGAUCGCAAGACCUAGCACUCGAAGAGGGGCCCGCGUCUGAUUAGCUAGUUGGNGGGGUAACGGCUCACCAAGGCGACGAUCAGUAUCCGGCCUGAGAGGGCGGACGGACACACUGGGACUGAGACACGGCCCAGACUCCUACGGGAGGCAGCAGUGGGGAAUUGUUCGCAAUGGGCGCAAGCCUGACGACGCAACGCCGCGUGGAGGAUGAAGAUCUUCGGGUCGUAAAACUCCUUUCGAUCGAGACGAAUGGCCUCCGGGUGAACAAUCCGGAGGAGUGACGGUACCGAGAGAAGAAG
RNAcentral lists this ribosomal RNA (484 nucleotides) under uncultured bacterium. RNAcentral describes it as "bacterial SSU rRNA". It matches the Rfam family "Bacterial small subunit ribosomal RNA", at positions 29 to 490 of the family's 1533-position model. The record is from RNAcentral.